GAGAUCAGUGUCUCCCUCUCCAGUUCUCCUCCUCAGGAAGCUGUAGAGAGCUAAAGUGAGGCACUUUCCCCUUACUUUUAAGCUUUUUUUCAGUGCUGUUUCUCUAAUACUUUUGCUCAGAAAAAUAAGUAUUAAGAUAUGCAACCUGCAAUUUAGAGGUGCACCAAAUCUUCUGUGCAAAUUAUGUAUGCUUUUUUUAUUAUAUCAUUCUGAAUAAAUGCAGCUGUUCCGGGAUGCCAUUGCUAGUUCCAAAAAUCAUUUCGCGGUCAUUAAUUUUCUUCAAUCCUUUAUCACCCACUCAGAGAAGUUUUCAGACCUUCAGUCAAGGAUGAGAAAAGGUGCCCUGGAGCGCAGGUAGCAGAGUUCUCAGCAGUAUGCUCUUAAGGGUCCUUCAGAGUCCAACCCCAAAGUUACUGAAGAGGAGAACCUAGACUACUGAAAGGAAAAGAAAGAAACUAUUCACUCCACGAAAAGACAUUUAUACAGUUUAACUUUAGUUUAGUUUAGUUCAGAAGAAAUAAAAAUUUGCAUGAAUGAAGUUAA
Pseudopipra pipra is the source of this 543-nucleotide long non-coding RNA. RefSeq lists it as uncharacterized. Lineage: Eukaryota; Metazoa; Chordata; Aves; Passeriformes; Pipridae. The transcript is spliced from 5 exons. The record is from RefSeq and is a predicted model, not a curated record.